Molecule: ribosomal RNA, 484 nt
Filed under: uncultured bacterium
Lineage: Bacteria
Description: partial 16S ribosomal RNA
Rfam family: Bacterial small subunit ribosomal RNA
Source: RNAcentral
AUUGAACGCUGGCGGCAGGCCUAACACAUGCAAGUCGAGCGGAUGAAGGGAGCUUGCUCCUGGAUUCAGCGGCGGACGGGUGAGUAAUGCCUAGGAAUCUGCCUGGUAGUGGGGGAUAACGUCCGGAAACGGGCGCUAAUACCGCAUACGUCCUGAGGGAGAAAGUGGGGGAUCUUCGGACCUCACGCUAUCAGAUGAGCCUAGGUCGGAUUAGCUAGUUGGUGGGGUAAAGGCCUACCAAGGCGACGAUCCGUAACUGGUCUGAGAGGAUGAUCAGUCACACUGGAACUGAGACACGGUCCAGACUCCUACGGGAGGCAGCAGUGGGGAAUAUUGGACAAUGGGCGAAAGCCUGAUCCAGCCAUGCCGCGUGUGUGAAGAAGGUCUUCGGAUUGUAUAGCACUUUAAGUUGGGAGGAAGGGCAGUAAGUUAAUACCUUGCUGUUUUGACGUUACCAACAGAAUAAGCACCGGCUAACUUCGUG